AUUUACUUCGUGUUUGUAUUUCGUUACUGAACGUCGAACGACGGUGUCGCGCGUCGGCUACAAGUGCGAACUUCAUUAAUUUUCUUCAACAAAAUAUAUUAGAUCUAUUACGUAAUAUAUUCAUAGGUGCACAGAUCAACCAGUGAAUGCAAUUGUUGUAAGCGAACAAUGGCUUUUAUUCAUCAAAACACGGAUUCGAAAUAGUUGCAUGUACUCCCGCAAUAUAUGGUUCUUAACGAUAUGGAAACAUAUUGCAUUUUUGAGUCGUCUUGACAGUAAGCAAUUAUUUUGACAUGAGUCUUGGACGGAUCAGCCAAGAGUAGACUAUCGCCGACCGACAUCCAGCACACACACGCAAACAAACACGUAAUAAUAUUAUUGUAAAUUUUUAUAAGGUGUGUCGUACCUCCCAAUCGCCUUCGUACUUCUAAAAAAAUAAUAUUAAAACGUAUCUAUUGUAAUAAUAUUAUACCUAAUAUAUUGUGUGAGAGUUUUUUUGUUUUAUUAUAUUAUAACACCGUAAAACACGAAUACGUUUUGUGAGCACCUACUGUUUAUUUGUUUUGAUUAUUAUGUAUAUCAUCAUAAGCGUCCUUCGAUUAAACUUAAUACCUAAUUAUAGUAAUAGCUCGGAUUUCAGCCGUAUAAUCUAACUAUUUACAAUAUGAUAUUACUAUGUCGUUGCUGAUUAAUUAUUAUUCCUUUAUAAUAGAGCCAGAAAACGAUAUUUUUACAUUUUAUCAAUUGUUGGGCCAAAAAUGAGUACUGUAAUAUUGUAUUGUGCAUCUUUCGGCAGUUUUAGUCCUGUAUAUUGUCAUUAUUAUUCUUUCGUUAUAAUCCAUAAUAUGUCGUGAUUAAUUUAUUUUUUUCAUUAUUUGAAUUAUACCUAUA
Long non-coding RNA from Metopolophium dirhodum (rose-grain aphid), 891 nucleotides. RefSeq lists it as uncharacterized. NCBI's taxonomy places the organism in Eukaryota, Metazoa, Arthropoda, Insecta, Hemiptera, Aphididae. The record is from RefSeq and is a predicted model, not a curated record. The transcript has 3 exons.